GACGAACGCUGGCGGCGUGCUUAACACAUGCAAGUCGAGCGGUAAGGCCCUUUCGGGGGUACACGAGCGGCGAACGGGUGAGUAACACGUGGGUGACCUGCCUUUAGCUCUGGGAUAAGCCUGGGAAACUGGGUCUAAUACCGGAUAUGACUCCGCGGUGCAUGCUGUGGGGUGGAAAGCCUUGUGCGGCUGGAGAUGGGCCCGCGGCCUAUCAGCUUGUUGGUGGGGUGAUGGCCUACCAAGGCGACGACGGGUAGCCGGCCUGAGAGGGCGACCGGCCACACUGGGACUGAGACACGGCCCAGACUCCUACGGGAGGCAGCAGUGGGGAAUCUUGCGCAAUGGGCGAAAGCCUGACGCAGCGACGCCGCGUGAGGGAUGACGGCCU
RNAcentral lists this ribosomal RNA (388 nucleotides) under uncultured bacterium. RNAcentral describes it as "bacterial SSU rRNA". It matches the Rfam family "Bacterial small subunit ribosomal RNA", at positions 28 to 417 of the family's 1533-position model. The record is from RNAcentral.